Molecule: non-coding RNA, 24 nt
Filed under: Arabidopsis thaliana (thale cress)
Lineage: Eukaryota; Viridiplantae; Streptophyta; Magnoliopsida; Brassicales; Brassicaceae
Source: RNAcentral
AUCUUGUGAUACAUCCCUCACCCG